CAAGUCGGUGACGGCAAGCAAAUCUCUUAAAGCCAGUCUCAGUUCGGAUUGUAGGCUGCAACUCGCCUACAUGAAGUCGGAAUCGCUAGUAAUCGCGGAUCAGCACGCCGCGGUGAAUACGUUCCCGGGCCUUGUACACACCGCCCGUCACACCACGAGAGUUUGUAACACCCGAAGUCGGUGAGGUAACCUAUUAGGAGCCAGCCGCCUAAGGUGGGAUAGAUGAUUGGGGUGAAGUCGUAACAAGGUACC
This 252-nucleotide ribosomal RNA is filed under the name uncultured bacterium. Its description in RNAcentral is "partial 16S ribosomal RNA". It matches the Rfam family "Bacterial small subunit ribosomal RNA", at positions 1250 to 1500 of the family's 1533-position model. The record is from RNAcentral.